CCUACGGGGGGCAGCAGUGAGGAAUAUUGGUCAAUGGACGAGAGUCUGAACCAGCCAAGUAGCGUGAAGGAUGACUGCCCUAUGGGUUGUAAACUUCUUUUAUAUGGGAAUAAAAUGUUCCACGUGUGGGAUUUUGUAUGUACCAUAUGAAUAAGGAUCGGCUAACUCCGUGCCAGCAGCCGCGGUAAUACGGAGGAUCCGAGCGUUAUCCGGAUUUAUUGGGUUUAAAGGGAGCGUAGGUGGAUUGUUAAGUCAGUUGUGAAAGUUUGCGGCUCAACCGUAAAAUUGCGGUUGAAACUGGCAGUCUUGAGUAGAGUAGAGGUGUGCGGAUUUCGUGGUGUAGCGGUGAAAUGCUUAGAUAUCACGAAGAACUCCGAUUGCGAAGGCAGUUCACUGGACUGCAACUGACACUGAGGCUCGAAAGUGUGGGUAUCAAACAGGAUUAGAUACCCGGGUAGUC
This 460-nucleotide ribosomal RNA is filed under the name uncultured bacterium. RNAcentral describes it as "partial 16S ribosomal RNA". It matches the Rfam family "Bacterial small subunit ribosomal RNA", at positions 338 to 795 of the family's 1533-position model. The record is from RNAcentral.